GGCGCCCCCUGGUGCCAGGAGGGGCUCGGCGCAGGCUGCCCCUGUGCGGAGUCCUGGGUCACCUAAGGGCGGUUUCCCAGGGAACCACUCUGGCUGGGGCACCCCGGGGCUAACUUGGAGGGUGCCGAGCUCUCCUGGAAUGGGAAGAGGCUUUGGGCUGUACUUCCUCCCCACACUCGGUCUUUCAAGUUGGAGAAGCCCUUAAGGACAGACAGAAUCAAGCUCUGAAAAACAGAAGCAGGGGGAGAAAGAAAAAAAAGCAGUCAUUCCCCACUAUCUCGACUGCGUCUUGAGAACAAGCACAUGGCCUGGUGCCUGAGAACUCUGUAAAUGUAAGAGGAGCUGACACACGGGCUGAGUACACUAUUUGGAGAAUGAACAUUGGAGGAUGGGCUCUCUGAUGUAUUCAGAGUAAGACCCAAGACAUCAUGGGUCUACAGAAAAGAGUAAUGACAAUACGUUUGAAUUCCACAGUGACCCACGUGCGUAUCAGCAAGCAACCAGACUCUCUGCCGUCUUGGAUAGCAAACUCUAGCUUGGUUUGAGAAUGAACAGAGUGACUGUGGCCGUGUGAAUCAGAAUGGCCCCCAUAGGAUCAUAGAUUUGAAAGCUUGGUUCUUAGGGAGUAGUGCUAUUUGACAGGGCUUGGGAGGGAUGGCCUUGUUGGGGUGGCUGUGGCCUUGAUGGAGGAAGUGUGUCACUGGGGAUGGGCUUUGAGAUUCCAAGAGCCCAACCCAGGCCCUGUGUCUCUCUCUUCCUGCUGCCUGUGAAUCCAGAUGUAGAACUCUGGGCUACCUCUCCAGCACCACGUCUGCCCGCACGCCACCAGGCUCCCUGCCAUGACAGCAAUGAACGAAACCUCUGAACCUGUAAGCUAGCCCUGUUUAAAUGUUUUAUUUAUACUGUAAGAGUUGCCAUGGUGAUGGUGUCUCUUCACAGCAAUAGAACACUGACUAAGACAGAAGUCGGUGGGGUACUGCUGUGACAGGCCUGACCAUGUAUCUUGGUGGAAUGUGGACUUUGGGACUUUGGAUUAGGAAAGCAGUUGAACGCUUUAAGCAGGGCUUAGUGGGCUGUCCUUUUAGGGGCAUGGAAGACAGUGGUACUGAGAGCAAUAUAGUUUAUAAUGGCCUGACUCAAGACGUUUCAGAGGAGAAGACUAUUAGUAAGUGGCCUAGAAAUCCUUUUCUUGUGAUAUUUUGGUGGGAAAUGUGGCUGUUUUCUGCCCCUGGCCAAAAAAUUUUGCCUGAAGCUAAAAUGAAGAGUUUUAGAUUGGUGGCAUUGGCAGAGGAGAUUUCAAAACAGCCUAGUAGUGACUAUGUUGUGUGGUUAUUAAUGGCCAGUCUUAGGCAGAUCUAUAGUGCAAAGGAGCAAGCUGGACAAGGAAAAGUACAAAAUGUACAGUUUGAGGAGAAAAGGAGCACCAGAGAGUGUAACGGAGUCAAGUCCAGCGCUCAAGGAGAUAAAACGUUUCAAUAAAAGCCUUAUCCUAAAUGAAGUAAAGGGAGUGGUGACCUCGGUGCAAGACUCCACCCGGAUAAGCUUCCAACUUGUGAAAAGGGAUUAAAGAAAAGCUUAGGCUGAGCAGUGGUGGUGGUUCAGGCCUUUAAUCACAGCACUCAAGAGGCAAAGGCAGACAGAUCUCUAAGUUCAAGGACAGCCAAGCUUAAGCAGUGAGGGAAAAUGUAUUUGACUGUGGGGGCCAUGUUCGAGUCCCAGCAAGCAAAAGAACUUGGCAGUUUUAACCACAUGGUUCUGGCUUUAGAGUCAAGAAUCCAAGAAAGAAAUGUGUUCUGGAAACUCCUCUAAUAGCUGGAAGCGGAGAGCAUACACAGAGCUGUAUCUGCAGUUUUUGUCAGAGCAAAUAUAGACAAGUCUGCAUUUGAGGCCAUUUCCCUGGUUUGAGAAAAAGGGAUAUGAGAAAUUUGGAGGGUUGAAAGGCUUAACAAAGACCCUAGGCUCUAAACUGUAUGAUUUCCUUAAAAAUAACCACUUUAAGAAUCUCCAUACAUGCCGGGCGGUGGUGGCGCACGCCUUUGAUCCCAGCACUCGGGAGGCAGAGGCAGGCAGAUUCCUGUGAGUUCAAGGCCAGCCUGGUCUACAGAGCGAGAUCCAGGACAGGCACCAAAGCUACACAGAGAAACCCUGUCUCGAAAACAACAACAACAACAAAAAUCCAUACAUACAAAAAAAUAUGUUGGGAAUUGGCCUCUGUCUCUCUGUCUGUCUUUCUGUCUCUCUGUCUCUCUCUGUCUCUCUCUGUCUCUCUCUGUCUCUCUCUCUGCUCUCUCUCUCUCUCUCUCUCUCUCUCUCUCUCUCUCUCUCUCUCUCUCUCUCAGCCAUACAUUAAGCAAAUAUGUUUUACUCUAUUCCACAGUGGGAGGACUUCCUGAUUUCACAGAAUUCAGUUUCCUUACACCCUCAAAAUACUUAAAAUAAUUCCCCAAUUUUGUCUGAUAAAGCUUUGGAUGGGUUACUGCUACUGGACACCAGAAAAUAUUCUUUUUCUAUUGUUUUACAUUUUGUUUCUGUGGGUGCAGUGGUGCAUGCUGUGACUUGUGUGGAGGUCAGAGGGCAACUCUCAGGAGUUGCUUCUCUUCUUGCACCACGUAGGUUCCAGGGACUGAAUUCAGGUCAUCAGGUUUCACGGCAAGCACCUUUACCUACUGAACCAUCUUGCCGGCCCAGUACAUUUUUUUAUGAGCCAAGCAAAGUGGUGUAUGCUUGUAAUACCAGCACUCUCAAGCCUAAGGUAAGAAGAUUAUGAAUUCAAGACCAGCCUGAGCUACACAGAAAAUCCUGUGUCAAAGUGUGGGGAGGAGGUAUUUUUUCUCUUGUAAGGAAAAGCUCAAGGUCACAUAGAUUAAACAAAAUGAAAUAUGUACUCUUCACACACGCGCAGGCAGUACAAGGUUAGCAUGGCAGAUACCUGGUAGGCAGGAACUCCUGUCUUAUGACAUCAUCCCCUAAACAAAUAACUUCUACCUUAUGAUCCAUGAUAGGUGCUCAGGCUCCAACAAUCACAUCCCUUUCUUAGCUAGCAGAACAGGAAGUGGUGGGGGAAAAAAAAAGAAACAACCUUCUAUUCAAGGCCAUGUCUAAAGCCUAUUGGCCAAGUAUAGUCUUUACUGUGGCUCUAACGCUACACCAGAAAGAAAGAACCAGUAUCAGAGGUAGCCAUGGUUCUCUCACUCACCAUCUGAGACAAGGCUUAGGACAGGGCAGUGGAGUUGUGAUGGAACAAACAUGGGCAAAGGUGCCGUAAGUGUGAGGACUCUCAGUGUGUUCCGAGAUGGCAAGCAGUUAGAGGUGUUGGCACAUAGAACAAGUUCGAGUUGGGAGGUAAGCCUUCAAAGAUCCAAAAGAGCCAUGGGCCUUCAAAAAAGAUGACUGUAAAAUAAAAUGUGCUCCAGACAGGAUCUUGUCUGAGGAUCACGUCUCUCACAAAUGUGGACAGGGCUUUUUUUUAUUAUCGCCCCUUAACAAUAAGAAACAUCUUCUUGUGUCCUUUAUGUGGUGAACUUCCAGCUUGGGAAAAAAAACAGUUUUGAAAGUCACACACAUUUACACCACUAAAUUUUUAAUUUUUAUUUACGAUACACAUUCCAUAUAGCAAAUCUCCAGAACAGAACGCCAGAGCACAGUGGUGGUCAGCUAGGAGACCAUCCUGAUCCUAAUGGGGUAGGAGAAAGAGACCUCACAAGGGCUACUGAUGCCAGCAGGAAAUGCGAGCAGUUUGGAAAGGCCCAGUAUCCGCAGUGGAAGAAGGGCAAAACGCUCCAGGACCCAUCAAAGACAAGCUGUGGUGAUCCUUGCAUUCGUGGUCAGCCAUUUUGCUGUUAGCACUCUGAGAAGGCCUUUUCCUUAGGUAAAAGCAGGAGUUAUGGAGGAGUUAUGGUUGUCAACGUUCUUCAUGCCCAUGCUCCCGACAGUUUCCAGUCAGGGCAAAGACAAAGCCAUGUGUGCAGUCUGUGUUUAUUUUAAUGCAAUCCGAAUCCUAGAUUGAGGGAUCGUGCUAACAAGAUGUUCCAAGGUCAAGGGCUUUGGGGAAUUAAAGAACUCCCACAGGCCCAACCUAUCCAACAUGUAGGGGCCCAAGAGAAUUUGCUUUCGUGCUGUGCUGUUCUGAUGAAACAGCGGAAUGAAUACACUGAACUUGGAAACACAGAGGGAAUGGGCUUUUGUUUCAGGAGGUGAAAAUGGUAGGUUUAAACUGGGCAUGAGGAUUGAGCCCAGAGCUUAAUGGAAUUCUGAAUUCUGAAGAGUUAUCCUAUUUCUGUAGAAAUAAAGUUCAAAUUUCGGAAGAGAGAUGUUCCGACGAACAUGAAUCAUACUUCAAGUUCCUGCAGCUGCUUUUGAUACAAAAACCUCAAGAUGUGUUUGAAUCAUCAAGUGCCUCUCCAACGUGCACAGUGUGGUUGCAAAAGGGAUUUAAUCUCAUGAAUCUGAAAAAGAGAUUGACUAUUCUGCCAUAGAUUUAGUUGGGAUUUGAGAAGUGGCAUGUGAAUCACAGAAUUGCCCUAAAUUUUAGUCUGCAUGGAUUUCUUUCAUAACAAUACUAAAAUCCAGGCAAAAGCAAUCAUGCUGUCAGUAACAAAAAGAACAAAAAGUCUAAAUUCAGCUAUCCAUCACCCGAACACCGUUGAGACACCCCAAAACUUGUUCAGCUGGGUACAUAACUGCAUUGUCCUUAACACAGUCAAAAUUAGUCAACAAGUUUCGGUUUUAUGAUAGUAUUUUUCCAGGACCAGAAACACUCUGCUAUCAACCCUGUAUAAAUAGCUCUUUCCAAAUAAGUGGAUCCUUGGGGUUACUUGGAAUGGACAUUGGUCCCAGUUUGCCACCAGCAAUCCCAACUCAAGACCCUGGUGACCCAGAAGAUUCUAGAAUCUGACAUUGACGAAAGGAUGUGAGAAAUGGUUAAAUAUUGUGAAAUCCAGUAUUUUAUAAUGAGUAAAUAAGUAAAUAUAGGCAUAACUGACCUAUCUUUUGGGAUCCUAUAAUUUUCAAUGUAUUAUAGUUACUAGCCUCUAAGUAAGCUAUGAGUCACCCCUUGAUUUGAUAGGUUAUAUUACCACAUUUUUGUAAACAUGGUAGACAAAACAUUUUGAAAGACUUUUUACUUUAUUCUAAAAAUCCAUAAUUUUAGCCAGGCAAUGGUGGCCCACGCCUUUAAUCCCAGCACUCGGGAGGCAGAGGCAGGUGAAUCUCUGUGAGUUCGAGGCCAGCCUGGUCUACAGAGUGACUUCCAGGAUAUCCAGAGCUGUUACACAAAGAAACCCUAUUGUUGUUGGAUGUUUUUACUUUUUUGGGGGGCCGUCACCCAGCUCCCAAAUAAAUCACAUAUGGAGGCUUUUAUUCCUAAUUAUGAAUGCCCAGUCUUAGCUUGGCUUAGUUUCUAGACAGCUUUCCUUAAUUUAAAUUAUCCCAUCUAUGUUGACUCUGGGCUUUUCCCUUUCUCUUAGUUCUAUAAAUCCUACUCUUACUCUGUGGCUUACAGUGUAGCUGGGUAACUGGUCCCUGGAGUCCUCCUCCUUCUCUGAUUACUUCUUCCCCAUCUCCCACAUUUCUCCUUCUAUUUAUUCUCUCUGCCUGCCAGCCCCACCUAUCCUUUCUCCUGCCUCGCUAUUGGCCGUUCUGAUCUUUAUUAGACCAUCAGGUGCUUUAGAUAGGCACAGUAACACAGCUUCACAGAGUUAAGCAAAUGCAACAUAAACAAAAGUAACACACCUUAAAAUAAUAUUCUACUACACUCUGUCUCAAAAACCAAUAAUAAUAAUAAUAAUAAUAAUAAUAAUAAUAAUAAAUUAAAAAUCCAUAAUUUUGAAUAGCUGACAAAAUUAGGCUGCAUGCAUGUAGAUUUCUAAUUUUUCCUAAAAUGUAGAUAUCACUAUUCUGGAGAAUUAAAGAGGAGUUCUGGUAUGAAAAUGACUGAAUGCAUUCCUGUUUCUCUAUAUUCAGAAACCAUUUAAGAGCUAAGGGAGGGGGAGCCUAAUUCCCAUCCCUCAAGAUCCAGAAACUUUUUUUUUAAUCUUGCAAACUAGGACACCAGUAUGUUGUCCAGCUUCCAAUCCACAGAUGAGUGUUGAAGAGAGCAGCUGAGAUUCAACAAAA
Peromyscus californicus insignis is the source of this 6114-nucleotide long non-coding RNA. RefSeq lists it as uncharacterized. The record is from RefSeq and is a predicted model, not a curated record. Lineage: Eukaryota; Metazoa; Chordata; Mammalia; Rodentia; Cricetidae. The transcript has 3 exons.